CCUACGGGAGGCAGCAGUGAGGAAUAUUGGUCAAUGGGCGGGAGCCUGAACCAGCCAAGUCGCGUGAGGGAAGACGGUCCUAUGGAUUGUAAACCUCUUUAGGCGGGGAGCAAUGCCGGGCACGUGUGCCCGGAGGGAGAGUACCCGCAGAAUAAGCAUCGGCUAACUCCGUGCCAGCAGCCGCGGUAAUACGGAGGAUGCGAGCGUUAUCCGUAUUUAUGGGGUUUAAAGGGUGCGUAGGCGGAUUUUUAAGUCAGCGUUAAAAUGUCCGGGCUCAACCCGGGCCGGCCGUUGAAACUGGGGAUCUUGAGUGGGCGAGAAGUAUGCGGAAUGCGUGGUGUAGCGGUGAAAUGCAUAGAUAUCACGCAGAACUCCGAUUGCGAAGGCAGCAUACCGGCGCCCGACUGACGCUGAGGCACGAAAGCGUGGGGAUCGAACAGGAUUAGAUACCCCAGUAGUC
RNAcentral lists this ribosomal RNA (460 nucleotides) under uncultured bacterium. RNAcentral describes it as "partial 16S ribosomal RNA". It matches the Rfam family "Bacterial small subunit ribosomal RNA", at positions 338 to 795 of the family's 1533-position model. The record is from RNAcentral.